GGAGAGAUGGCCGAGAGGCUGAAGGCGCGCGCUUGGAAAGCGCGUAUACGGGAAACCGUAUCGCGGGUUCGAAUCCCGCUCUCUCCGCCA
This 90-nucleotide transfer RNA is filed under the name Steroidobacteraceae bacterium. RNAcentral describes it as "tRNA-Ser". It matches the Rfam family "tRNA". Rfam says of the family: Transfer RNA (tRNA) molecules are approximately 80 nucleotides in length. Lineage: Bacteria; Pseudomonadati; Pseudomonadota; Gammaproteobacteria; Steroidobacterales; Steroidobacteraceae. The record is from RNAcentral.